CACUGUGCUCAGGCCACACAGCGCGCCACUUACGGGUGACGCCCUAGCUUUAGCGCGAUUUCGUUCUGGAUUCAUUUUCAUAAGGAUUCGACGUGAUCAUGGAAUCCCCAAAGAUGAAUCAGAAAGAAUCCCCAAAGACUACAAGACGAAUCUCCCCUCUCUUGCUGCAAGAUGAAUCCCAAUUUGCAAGACGAAUCUCUCCUCUCUCGCUUCAAGACGAAUCUGCAAUUUGCGUGACGACGAAGAAAAGUAGGAUGGUGGGGAUGUCGGUGCAAAGAGGAGAGAAGCAGACUAGAGGUGAAUUGAACAGUUGUCGGAGAAGAGGAGUGGGGUGGGUGGGGCUGUCGGUGCAAAGAGAAGACAGAAACAAACGAAGCAUAUGAAGAAGACGAAACGAAUCAGACGAAGUGAAGCGAGCGAAGCGAGAAGGGGCUUAGCAGUCCUCUCGUAUUUGGGGGGGUCUCGCUAAGACCUUCUAACGAAGGUGUUAGUCGAGACGAGUCCCACUUAAUACCAUUAAAGGUAAUCCCUCCCUGUAACAAACACAAGACUAGACUGACUUUUAGUCCAGUCUAGUCUAGUGAGACUUAACGAAGGGAAACAAACACACCCUUAGAGACUUGGUGAGUAUUGAGUUAUAUUUACCUUAAUUUGAAAACUUAGAGCUGAUAGAGAGGUCAAGCUACCAAUCCUUAAUGGGUAUAUUUUUCCAGGGAUUACUGUCAGAAUAUAGGGAGAACAGUCGGGAUUUGUCGCGUUACAGACCCCGACUUCUAGGCUAGGAGUCUCUAGUAGAGAGCAGUUGAAUCUCCAUCUUCCAUUAAUCAGAAGUGAUUGCAAAGCUAACGGAAUGUACAUUAAGUUUAUAAAACAUGGGCAACGUAUUCUGUAAAAUGAUCUCUACUUUUGUUCUUCAAGUUAGGAAACAACCUUUCCAAUAUUUAUGUUGUUUUCAGGGGAAAAGUGAAACAUGGUGAAUAGUUAGAAACACAAAAAGGAACCUUUCAAGUGGAAUAAAUGUUUCAUUCUUCAGAGACUCUGUUGUUGGUCCUCGCUUUUCAUGUUUAUAUGACCUUCUUUUUAGAAAGUGCGAUAUCAACUACCAUCAGUGUUUUGCUACACGAGGGAUAGGGUAGUAUUACAAAUUCAGUUAUGAAAAUAAACUCUUGAAAUAAUUUGUUCUUGUAAAUAGUGUAGAGAAGAUGUUACCUUAAAUAAUAAUCUAAUUAGCCUUUGUUUGCCGUUUCAGUUACAAAAUAUGUGUGUGCGCGCGCUCGCGCGCAUUAUGGAUCUUUAUGUGGGGCAGAACAUAUAUAUGCAUUGACUUUUGUUUUCCUAAUUGGGCAGAUGUCGUAGCUUAUUAGAAGUCGUAAGGUGGUGACGACUGCAACUUGUUCGAUUGCCCCGCCUCCUACUUCAGUCGCCACUGCUCCAGCAUAAAUGGAGCCCAGGCUGGUUAAUCCGGUUGAUGUGGUUGAUCCAGUUGCUUCCCGAGUCUCCCAGGAGUUGGCAUCAUCAGCCUCUUGAGUGGUGCUACCUAUUGGCGCUAGGCGUGGUCACCGCCGCCCCUGCACGCCUAACAGGAUAUCGGCAUCCACUACUGAUGUCUCGGGGUCCCACAAGAAAAAUACUCGGGGACCUUGUCGUCAGUUGAAGACUUCGAACGUCACGUCAUUGGUUACAUCGUUUGGACCUAUUGCCCUAUGCGAUGAAAGUCUUGGAAGGCGAUGCCAGACGAGGUGAAGAUGAAGAAAAACUACGAUUUCGACGACAUCAACGACGAUAUGUUGGCGUACGUCAACAUUGAAUGGUACAAGCAGUGGAAGAGCAACCUGCACCAAUAUUUUCAGACAUUUGAUGAUCUGCAGAAGAAAAGAAAGGAACGGAUGGAGAAGAAGAAAGAAAGGAAUAAAAAAAGAAAAGAAGGAAUAAAAAAAAUUAAAAGAAGAAUAAGUGAGUCCACACAUGAGGGAUCCAAAGAAAGAUAUACGAAAGAAGAAGAAAAAGGAGAAUCCAAGGCGUGAAAGGGAUAGAGGCGGGAGACAGAGAAGACUUGAAAAAGUGGGAAAUAAAAAUAAUAAGAUAGAGAGGAGAAAGCAGCUGGCAGAGACGAAAUUGGGGGGGGGGGAGAGAUGGAGCUGCCUUUGGCAGCACGGGGUCAGAGAGGAUAGAGAUACGUGAGGGAAGCAAAUAAGAAAGAAGAAAGAAAAAAAAGGUGAGGGACUGACAGAAAAGCAGAGGGCUGCCCUUUGGGCAGCGUGAGGCUGCGCAGAAAUAAAAGGGACAGUUCGGCAUGGCAGGAGAGAAGUGACGCAGGGAGUGAGGGCAGAAGCACAGAAACGCAGCAGAUCUUAUUCUCUCGGUUAAAUCUUUCCAACUUAUGAUUAAUUUUUGGUUUAAUUUUAGAAUAAUGUGUAGCUAAAUUUAUUUUGGCUAGAGGUUAAU
Molecule: non-coding RNA, 2445 nt
Organism: Malus domestica (apple)
Lineage: Eukaryota; Viridiplantae; Streptophyta; Magnoliopsida; Rosales; Rosaceae
Source: RefSeq, a predicted model, not a curated record